Long non-coding RNA from Rana temporaria (common frog), 271 nucleotides. RefSeq lists it as uncharacterized. NCBI's taxonomy places the organism in Eukaryota, Metazoa, Chordata, Amphibia, Anura, Ranidae. The transcript is spliced from 3 exons. The record is from RefSeq and is a predicted model, not a curated record.
AUGUGGGAGGGGAUGUCCCAAGCAAGGCAUUCAUUUGCCAAUUAGUGAUUGCCAAAUCCUUGACACCUGACAUGCACAUAUUUAAAUAGACUGGGUGUAUACCUGACACCUGCCUGUGAUCCUAUCUUCAUACUAUGCUGGACACACCACACAUAGGAUACGCUUUUUCUUGCUCUCUCUGGAGAUCGCUUCCAUACUCAUAUUCUAAACAUUUAAUAAGGCAUCACUCUGGCAAUUGCUUUGCUGGGCUCCCCCUCCACCUGUCCGGCCC